AGAGUUUGAUCCUGGCUCAGAACGAACGUUAGCGGCGCGCCUAACACAUGCAAGUCGAACGCGACUGGGGGCAACUCCAGUUGAGUGGCGCACGGGUGAGUAACACGUAGGUAAUCUCCCCCCGAGUGGUGGAUAACCUUCCGAAAGGAGGGCUAAUACAGCAUAAGACCACGGCUUCGAAAGAAGCUGAGGUCAAAGCGGAGGAUCGCAAGACUUCGCGCUUGGGGAUGAGCCUGCGGCCCAUCAGGUAGUUGGCGGAGUAAAAGCCCACCAAGCCUAAGACGGGUAGCUGGUCUGAGAGGAUGAUCAGCCACACUGGAACUGAGACACGGUCCAGACUCCUACGGGAGGCAGCAGUGGGGAAUCUUGCGCAAUGGACGAAAGUCUGACGCAGCGACGCCGCGUGGGUGAUGAAGGCCUUCGGGUUGUAAAGCCCUGUGGGGAGGGACGAAUAAGUCCAGCUAAUACCUGGAGCGAUGACGGUCCUCCUUAGCAAGCACCGGCUAACUCUGUGCCAGCAGCCGCGGUA
Molecule: ribosomal RNA, 529 nt
Filed under: uncultured Pseudomonadota bacterium
Lineage: Bacteria; Pseudomonadati; Pseudomonadota
Description: bacterial SSU rRNA
Rfam family: Bacterial small subunit ribosomal RNA
Source: RNAcentral